RNAcentral lists this ribosomal RNA (253 nucleotides) under uncultured bacterium. RNAcentral describes it as "partial 16S ribosomal RNA". It matches the Rfam family "Bacterial small subunit ribosomal RNA", at positions 524 to 776 of the family's 1533-position model. The record is from RNAcentral.
UACGGAGGGUGCAAGCGUUAUCCGGAAUCACUGGGUGUAAAGGGUGCGUAGGCGGCCUGUUAAGUCAGGAGUGAAAGGCCACAGCUUAACUGUGGGAUUGCUUUUGAUACUGGCGGGCUUGGAUUAGGACGAGGUUGGCGGAAUGUGGCAAGUAGCGGUGAAAUGCAUAGAUAUGCCAUAGAAUACCGAUUGCGAAGGCAGCUGACUAGACCUAUAUUGACGCUGAGGCACGAAAGCGUGGGGAGCGAACAGG